Molecule: long non-coding RNA, 5808 nt
Organism: Zingiber officinale
Lineage: Eukaryota; Viridiplantae; Streptophyta; Magnoliopsida; Zingiberales; Zingiberaceae
Exons: 5
Source: RefSeq, a predicted model, not a curated record
GUAAGCAAAUGGUGAGGGCCCAUAAUUAGGGCAGAACCAACAUCCCCCGCCCCGCAAGGAAACUCAGAAGUCUCAGCACUCGGCAGUAGCCGUUUCUCAGCAACGGUCACCUGCAGCCUCGGCAACAGCGCAGCAGUCUCAGCAGUAGCCUCCGGAAUACAGCUAAUAUAGUUCUUAAACUGCGGCAAACUACCCAUUGUUUCCUCUCCUUCACUCUGGCAACGAGGAUGCCGAGCGUUUGCCGGAAUGGAGGUUACGGCGAGUGCUUCUCCAUUAAAAGGGUUUUUUGUUGACAAUGAGGAGAGGUUCUGCUAACAAUGGAUUUGUUUGAUUGCCCCUUGUCGUGCACACAGCCGUAGCCACCAGAGGCUAGAAAGGCUGUUCCUACUGUCUUUCUACUUCUCUUGCGCUUCUGUGUCUCUCCCUCUCUGCCUCUCACUGUCACUAUUUUCGAGAUAGAGAGGUGAACAUACUUCUUCGUCCUAUCCGUGGAAAGCUUGGGCACUAGAACUCCUCUAAUUCAACUUGUCGUUCCAAGAAGCAAGCAUACUUCUUCCUUCUUGGCAUUGAGCGGACCCUUGGAUGAUUGUUUGAAACUGUUGAGAGGCCAGUGGGAUGAGCAAAAGCUGGUCGGUCUCCUCACCUCAAAAAUCUGUCAUGGGGACGACACAACUGCUGUUCUAAAGGUCUAUGAUGCUGUCGGUGCUUGUUUUCUUCAGAGACUCAUCUUAACUGGUAUGGGAAAGGGAUCUGGUGGGUUUGGUAGCGCCGAGGAUAAAGAGCCAUAUUCGAGGCUCUCCAUCACCCUUCUUACUGCAUUGUGUCGGGUGCCAGAAAUUGCUUCAUAUGAGGAAAUGGUCUCUAAAGUUCCUCUUGUAGCUGAAAUAGUUACAAAAUCGUCUGACCCUUGUUGCUGUUGCUUCGGAUAGUGGAAGAGCAAAGUUUUAUCAACCUGGAGUCAAUUACCUGUUGCUCUUGCUUUGGAUGCAGGUCUGACCCUUUUUUUGAAUACUCUAAAUGGGACAAUACUUUUUAUCUUGCGGUAGUCAAUUACUCUAGGAAUUCUAUAUUUUUGGAGUUUUCUUUUCCCUUUAUUUACUGUGUUAUGUUGAGGCGCGUAACACACUAUCGUCAAUUAAUUUUGUAAUGCCUUGUUUUUGUACCAAAUGUUCUGUAGGGUCUCAGACUACAAAAAAACGAAAAUGUACGGUAUUUAAUGUACAUGAUCAAAUACUUGGUUUAAUGUGGUAAGACAUUUAAUAAGCUGCAAGCGCUCGCCGCUUUGGAACGUGAGCACACCGAACCACCUUAAACGCAGGGGUGUGUGCUGGCGACGUUUUUAACGUCAAUUUUAAUGUAACGGUGAGGGUAUGAUGACACAUUUUUUACUUCUAGAUCCAACAGUCAUCUUAGAAUACCACGGAGAAUGAAAAGUCACUUCGUAAAUUAUCCUUGCCAAAGCUUUUAAUGGUGGCGAUUUGAUGGUGGCUGUUUUUGUCUAGCACACUCAUCGGAUGGUAGAGAGAAGAUCCCUACAAUUGAUGACUUAGAGAAAUUGUGCGAUAUCGUCAUCAUAGUCUUCUACCUCUCGUUACUAUUUUUGUUGCCUUUCAUUGUUGUGUUCUUGCGCUCUUCUCCUUUCUCCAUCGUCUGUGCCUCUUUUGUCCUUGCAAAGAUAAGUAAGUUGUGACUCCUCCAACUAAUUUUUUCCCUCCUUUCUCUGCUCUUCCGCUUCCUUCUUUUUUCCUCUGCGACUAUGACUGUUGGUAGAUCCUUCAUUAGGUGGUAUGAGACUCAAUGGGUGAUUUUCCCUGAGGUUGCAGGACCAACUAUGGGAGCUUUACGCCAUUCUGUUAGACAAUGAGAUUAGGAUUCCCCAACGAGAUAAUCGACCUAAUAUUCCUCCUCCCGAUUUUAUUACUUUCUUCUAUGGUCAAUUGAUAGGCGACUCAAGGUUUCCCAUUCCCUCUGUACAAGAUUUAGCUCAUUAUUUUUGUAUCUCCUUAUCUCAUAUGCAACCACCGUAUGAUUUGCUGCGUAUCCAUCAUCUUCCGGAUAUAUGACAUUCCCCUUAACGAAUUUAUCUUCUAAUAUCUUUUUUACAUUCAGUCUGCCGAACCUGGAACCUUCAUUUUACUGCCAGGAAUAAAUGUAAAUUUUUGAGUGACUGUCCAACCUCCAGCAAACUAUGGAAAGAUCGAUUCUUUUUCAUUAAACUACCUAAACCCUAUACUUAGCCUACUCUCUGGCUCGACGAACUCCACAAUCAACUUAAGUUGGGAGACUACAAAUCGGAACCAGUAUACUUGGAGACGACCUUCAUUCUUAAGGACCUAAUGUUCAACGCAAUCCUCUUGGUGAAGAAUGAGGUGUUGCUUCAUCUGGUCGGGUUGAGCCCAAAAAAUGCAGCUUGGGUGAGGUUUUCAUGUCUAGUAGAUUUCUUUUUGUAUUAACUAUCCUUUUUUUGUCUUGUAAAGUAAACUUUGUAUGACUCUUCUAUCAGGAAGAAACUGAACUGGGAGUUGACUCCCCAGCGACUUGCUCAUGUUGAUGAAUAAAGCUAGGGAGUCUCAUUAGGUGUUAGUUUUUCUUCCUUCUCUAGUGUCCAACAUUGUUAAUAGUGAGGGUGAUACCGGCUCUCAUGCGAUGCUAUAUUCUCCGGCAUUCGCAGCUUCUACCCAUGUGAAUGAUCUGACAGAGUCACCUGAGACAAGUGCUCCAUUAGAAUUUUGCUCUCAGGGAAAAGGGAUGGUCAUACAACAAUCAUCCCCUCUUAAUCUUUCUACCCCUAGUGGGAGUCAAGGGCGUAUUACGAAGCCAAGGCCCAGGAGAAACAUCAUCGAGAGCUUGGAGGCCAAAUAUAUCAUGUGGACGACCUUGCUGAGGUGGUUGCUGAAGGGAGAGCUAUGAAGAAGAAGAGAUCUGUUAGACCAAUUAAAGGGCCUGCUUCAGUGCCUUCCUUCAGGAAGAGUGACCCUCCUUUAGCGGGGGAAAUUUAUCUUAUCCUCAAAGACAUAACUCCGGAGAAGUAUUGUCAAAUGCGGGAGCGAGAGCUAGGGAUAACCCCUCAAGCCACUAGUCAUUCGCUUCCUCUCCCCCAUGUGCCAACUAAGUCAGAGGCUUUAGGCAUUGGUCAGAUGUCUUCUCCUGUCGACGCUGAACAGCGUUACCCCUCUAACUUGGCCUCUCUCAGACUCGAGGCAGCCAACGGACAGAGGAGACUCAAUCCCUUUCUUGAAGAGCAAUUGAAAUAUUAUAAGGAGUAUCUGAUACCUAGCAUGAGUAUUCUUAAGCUAAUGGAAUGCUCAACUUUCUUUGAUCGAAAGGUAUCACAUCCUCCUUGUAAUAUUUCAAUUGCUCUUCAAGAGAAGGGAUGAGUCCCUUCUGUUCGCCGGUUGCCUUAAGUUUGAGAGAAGCUAAGUUAGAGGAGAAAUCCUGUUCAGCGUCGACAGGAGGAGACAUCUGACCAAUGCCUAAAGCUUCUGUCUCAGUUGGCAUAUAGGGGAGAGGCGGCGAUUUGCUUGUGGGUUGAGGGAUUAUCGGCAUAUAGGGGAGAGGCCUUAGCUCUCGCUCUUGCAUUUGACAACACAUUUCCCGAGCUAUGUCUUUGAGGGUAAGGUAAAUUUCUCUUGCUGAAGGAAUGUCACUCUUCCUUAAGGAAGGUGCUGAAGCAAGCUCUUUGAGGGUCUAAUAGGAUCAUCUUAUUCUUUGCAGCUCCUGCUUCAGCAGCCACCUCUGCAAGGUCGUCCAUAGGAGAUAUUUGGCCUCCCGACUCUCGAUAAUGUUUCUCCUUGGCCUUAGCUUCGUGAAUCUGCACUUGACUCCCACCAGGGGUAGAAAGGUUAGGAGGAGAUGAUUGCCGUAGGACUAACCUUGUUCCUCGAGAGCGAAACUCUGAUGGAGCUCUUGCCUCAGGUGACUCUGUUAGAUCAGUCACAUGGGUAGAAGCUGUGAUUGUCGGAGAAUAUAGCAUCGCAUGAGUGACGGUAUCGGGGCUGACUCAGACCCUUCACUAUUAAUGAUGUCGGACACUAGAGAAGGAGGAUAAACUGGCGCCUAAUAAGACACCCACCUCUAUCCAUCGACAUAAGCUGGUCGUUGUUGGAUGUCAACUCCCAGUUCAGUUUCUCGCUGAUGGAAGUGUCAUAUAAAGUUUUCUUUGCAAUACAAAGAAAGGAUGGUUAAUACAAAAAGAAAACUACUAGACAUGAAAAUCUCACCCAAGCUGUCGGCCAGCGACAUAUUUUUUGGGCUGAACCCGACCAGAUGAAGCAACAUUCAACAUUAGGUCCUUGAGAAUGAAAGUCGUCUCUAAGUUUAGGUCGUUUAAUGAAAAAGAAUCGAUCUUUUCAUACUUUGUUGGAGGUUGGACAGUCACCCAAAAAUUUACAUUUAUUCCUGGUAGUAAAAUAAAGGUUCCAAGUUCGGGAGGCCGAAUGUAAAAAUGAUAAUGGAAGAUAACUUCGUUAAGGGGAAUGCCAUAUAUCCGGAAGAUGAUCGAUAUGCCGCAAAUCAUACGGUAGGAGUUGGGUUGCAGUUGAGAUACCGAAAUAAUGAGCUAAAUCUUGUAUGGAGGGGAUGGGAAAUCGUAAGCCGUCUAUCAAUUGACCAUAGAAGAAAGUAGUAAAAUCGGGAGGAGAAAUGUUAGGUCGAUGAUCUCGUCGGGGAAUCCUAAUCUCAUGGUCUAACGGAAUGAUGUAAAACUUUCGUAGUUUGGGUCUUGCAACUUCAAGGAGAAUCGUCCAUUGAGUCGCAUACCACCUGAUUGAGGAUCUACUAGCAAAUAUAGUUGCAGAGGAAAAAAGAAGCGGAAGAGCAGAGAAAUGGAGGGAAAAAUCCAGUUGAAGGAGUCACAACUUACUUAUCUUUGCAGGGAUAGAAGACAGAAGAUGGAGAAAGGAGUUAGAAGAAGACUCUAACGGUGGUAUUGUCCUCAAUUGUAGGGAUCUUCCUACCAACCACCAUUAAAAACUUUGACAGGGAUAACUUACGAGGUGACUUUUCAUUCUCUGUGAUAUUCUAAGAUGACUAUUGGAUCUAGAAGUAAAAAAUGUGUCACCAUACCCUCACCGUUAGAUUAAAAAUGUCGCCAACACACACCUCUGCAUUUAAGGCGGUUCGGUAUGCUCGCGGUCCAAAGCGGAGAGCGCCUGCAGCUCAUGAAAUGCCUUACCACAUUAAAUUACCAAGCAUUUGAUCAUGUACAUUAAAUACCGCACCUUUUCGUUUCUUUUGUAGUCGAGACCCCACAUAACAUUUGGAGCAGAACCGAGGUAUUAUAAAAUUAAUUGACGAUAGUGUGUUACGCCUCAGCAUAACACAAUAUAUGAAGAAAAAAAAAGAAUUCCAAAAAUAUAGAGUUCCUGGAGUAAUUGAUUAUCAUAAGAGAAAAGUACUGCCACACCUAGAGUAUUCAAAAAAACCAACAAAGCAUAAAGCUUACUUAUCUACUUUAAAGGGCAGAUACAGUUCUACAAGAAGUAGGUAGGAGUGUAAUGGAGAUAAACCCUUUAUUGAUACGAUAGAAUCUAAAGUUGUCAUAAGAUCCAUUGAAAGAAGUUCACAAAAGAAAUCACAAUUUUUAUGAUAAAAUCUGAUGUAAGCCUAGCAGAACCAUUGGAUUAAAGUUUUCUAAGCCUUUUUCAGCAAGUAAGAAUUCUUGAUCAGACUAGAUCAUGAAAUUCGGUUAUGGAGGCGAUUUUAACUUGGUAAGUUGUAUCCAUCGGGUUUAAGCAGAUCUACCGGUGAUAUGCCAUAUAACAAUUUGAAGUAAUCUCAGACGAACACUAUGUAAUUCUGAGUAUCAAA